This 30-nucleotide ribosomal RNA is filed under the name Ficus deltoidea var. angustifolia. Its description in RNAcentral is "partial 18S ribosomal RNA". Lineage: Eukaryota; Viridiplantae; Streptophyta; Magnoliopsida; Rosales; Moraceae. The record is from RNAcentral. RNAcentral also lists the same sequence under 1 other name.
UAGGUGAACCUGCGGAAGGAUCAUUGUCGA